CGGACGGGUGAGUAACACGUAGAGAACCUACCUUACACAGGGGGACAACGGCUGGAAACGGCGUGCUAAUACCGCAUAAGCACCCAGUUUCGCAUGAAACAGAGUGAAAAGAGUAAAUCGGUGUAAGAUGGCUCUGCGUCUGAUUAGCUAGUUGGUGGGGUAAAGGCUCACCAAGGCGACGAUCAGUAGCCGGCCUGAGAGGGCGACCGGCCACAUUGGGACUGAGACACGGCCCAGACUCCUACGGGAGGCAGCAG
RNAcentral lists this ribosomal RNA (257 nucleotides) under uncultured bacterium. RNAcentral's name for it is "partial 16S ribosomal RNA". It matches the Rfam family "Bacterial small subunit ribosomal RNA", at positions 99 to 354 of the family's 1533-position model. The record is from RNAcentral.